UCCGAGUUGUCCCCGGCAGUCUCUUUAGAGUCCCCACCAUUACGUGCUGGCAACUAAAGACAGGGGUUGCGCUCGUUGCGGCACUUAGGCCAACACCUCACGGCACGAGCUGACGACAGCCAUGCGGCACCCGCUUUCACGGGUUUCACCCUGCAUGUCAAGCCCAGGUGAGGUUCUUCGCGUCGCAUCGAAUUAAGCCACAUGCUCCGCCGCUUGUGCGGGCCCCCGUCAAUUCCUUUGAGUUUUAGCCUUGCGGCCGUACUCCCCAGGCGGGGUGCUUAAUGCGUUAGCUGCGGCACGGAGCGGGUUGAAGACCGCCCCACACCUAGCACCAAACGUUUACGGCUGGGACUAC
Molecule: unclassified non-coding RNA, 355 nt
Filed under: uncultured Actinomycetes bacterium
Lineage: Bacteria; Bacillati; Actinomycetota; Actinomycetes
Description: uncultured actinobacterium contains 16S-23S intergenic spacer region
Source: RNAcentral